Molecule: long non-coding RNA, 568 nt
Filed under: Bos indicus x Bos taurus (hybrid cattle)
Lineage: Eukaryota; Metazoa; Chordata; Mammalia; Artiodactyla; Bovidae
Description: lncRNA (ENSBIXG00000004666.1)
Source: RNAcentral
UGUCAGGAAUGGGUCGGCUGGAAAGCUUAGGACAAAAAGCCCAAGAGGAUGUAUUAAUAACUUGUCUAAACAGAGAUGUCAAAGGCCCUGGAGGGUCACCUGUAGGCUGGGUUAUUUGCCAAAGCAGAGGAGGCAAAUGCUGGAGACUGAGGGGCCUGUGAAGUGGAAGAGGCAGACACCUCCCCUGGGUGGAGCCCUCUCAACCCCAAGAGUCUCUCGGAAUGGAGGACUGAGCCUGACUGGAGGACGGAAUUCCUACACAGGUUCCCGGCAUACAAUUCCUGUUUAAUACUUCGUUUCUUAUAUGCAACCUCAAAACUGCCCUUUGUAUGUAGCAAAUACAGACUGGGACUCCCGUUUAAUUUUUAAAGUGAUUGCCAAUUUCUAGAUAGCAAACUUGAAUGAAAAUUCAAGUUUGGACUUUACACUAGAGUAUCUUGGGCCAUAGAGUCUGUCAAUAUUAAAUUGGUUGUUUCCUGUUUCCUUAUCUAGAAGAGGUAGGGAAAAAUUGAUGGCCUCUAUCUUACAAACAAUGCACUGAUUUUAAAAAAGAAGAAGAAGAAAGAAA